Non-coding RNA from Pelobates cultripes (western spadefoot toad), 217 nucleotides. NCBI's taxonomy places the organism in Eukaryota, Metazoa, Chordata, Amphibia, Anura, Pelobatidae. The record is from the annotation of a GenBank genome assembly.
GGUGCUGCCACCCACUCCUUCUCCAGCGACGUCAUCCAGUAGUUGUUGCUUCCUUGGUUGCUUGUCCAAUGGAAUGUUUCACACCUAGCAUUGGUGACGAGAAGCGAACACGCCAUGCUCCUCCAAUCGAAUGCUUUCUAUGAGAAACAUUCAGCGGGGGUGACAUGUGAGCACCACGUCUGACUCAGUUCUCACAGCAGGGAAGGGUAGACGUAAA